CUAGCGACUUCAGAGUUUGAUCCUGGCUCAGGACGAACGCUGGCGGCGUGCCUAACACAUGCAAGUCAACGGGGUAAAGACUCGGUUUUUACUUAGUGGCGAACGGGUGAGUAACGCGUGAGAAACCUGCCUCUCAGUGGGGGACAACAGUUGGAAACGACUGCUAAUACCGCAUAAUGUUUUUUGGACCGCAUGGUCUGAAACCAAAGCUUUAUGUGCUGAGAGAUGGUCUCGCGUCUGAUUAGCUAGUUGGUGAGGUAACGGCUCACCAAGGCGACGAUCAGUAGCCGGUCUGAGAGGAUGAACGGCCACAUUGGGACUGAGAUACGGCCCAG
This 335-nucleotide ribosomal RNA is filed under the name uncultured bacterium. RNAcentral describes it as "bacterial SSU rRNA". It matches the Rfam family "Bacterial small subunit ribosomal RNA", at positions 1 to 334 of the family's 1533-position model. The record is from RNAcentral.